GAUGAACGCUAGCGGCAGGCUUAAUACAUGCAAGUCGAGGGGCAGCAGGACUGUAGCAAUACAGUUGCUGGCGACCGGCAAACGGGUGCGGAACACGUACGCAACCUACCCAUAACUGAGGAAUAGCCCGGGGAAACCCGGAUUAAUACCUCGUAACAUAGUGAGAUGGCAUCAUCUUAUUAUUAUAGCUCCGGUGGUUAUGGAUGGGCGUGCGCCUGAUAGGUAGUUGGCGGAGUAAUAGCCCACCAAGCCUACGAUCAGUAACUGGUGUGAGAGCACGACCAGUCACACGGGCACUGAGACACGGGCCCGACUCCUACGGGAGGCAGCAGUAAGGAAUAUUGCACAAUGGGCGAAAGCCUGAUGCAGCGACGCCG
This 377-nucleotide ribosomal RNA is filed under the name uncultured bacterium. RNAcentral describes it as "bacterial SSU rRNA". It matches the Rfam family "Bacterial small subunit ribosomal RNA", at positions 28 to 399 of the family's 1533-position model. The record is from RNAcentral.